RNAcentral lists this ribosomal RNA (484 nucleotides) under uncultured bacterium. RNAcentral's name for it is "partial 16S ribosomal RNA". It matches the Rfam family "Bacterial small subunit ribosomal RNA", at positions 30 to 507 of the family's 1533-position model. The record is from RNAcentral.
AUUGAACGCUGGCGGCAUGCCUUACACAUGCCAGUCGAACGGCAGCACGGACUUCGGUCUGGUGGCGAGUGGCGAACGGGUGAGUAAUGUAUCGGAACGUACCUUUCAGUGGGGGAUAACGUAGCGAAAGUUACGCUAAUACCGCAUAUUCUGUGAGCAGGAAAGCAGGGGAUCGAAAGACCUUGCGCUGAUUGAGCGGCCGAUAUCAGAUUAGCUAGUUGGUGGGGUAAAGGCCUACCAAGGCGACGAUCUGUAGCGGGUCUGAGAGGAUGAUCCGCCACACUGGAACUGAGACACGGUCCAGACUCCUACGGGAGGCAGCAGUGGGGAAUUUUGGACAAUGGGGGCAACCCUGAUCCAGCCAUGCCGCGUGAGUGAAGAAGGCCUUCGGGUUGUAAAGCUCUUUCGGCCGGGAAGAAAUCGCAUAGGCUAAUACCCUGUGUGGAUGACGGUACCGGAAGAAGAAGCACCGGCUAACUACGUG